CCAAGGCGACGAUCAGUAGCCGGCCUGAGAGGGUGAACGGCCACAUUGGGACUGAGACACGGCCCAGACUCCUGCGGGAGGCAGCAGUGGGGAAUAUUGCACAAUGGGGGAAACCCUGAUGCAGCAACGCCGCGUGAAGGAUGAAGUAUUUCGGUAUGUAAAGGUCUAUCAGCAAGGAAGAAGAGAGACGGUACUUGACUAAGAAGCCCCGGCUAACUAC
RNAcentral lists this ribosomal RNA (220 nucleotides) under uncultured bacterium. Its description in RNAcentral is "partial 16S ribosomal RNA". It matches the Rfam family "Bacterial small subunit ribosomal RNA", at positions 268 to 504 of the family's 1533-position model. The record is from RNAcentral.